GACGCCCGCUUUCUUCUUGCUUAACACAUGCAAGUCGAACGGAAAGGCCCUGCUUUUGUGGGGUGCUCGAGUGGCGAACGGGUGAGUAACACGUGAGUAACCUGCCCUUGACUUUGGGAUAACUUCAGGAAACUGGGGCUAAUACCGGAUAGGAGCUCCUGCUGCAUGGUGGGGGUUGGAAAGUUUCGGCGGUUGGGGAUGGACUCGCGGCUUAUCAGCUUGUUGGUGGGGUAGUGGCUUACCAAGGCUUUGACGGGUAGCCGGCCUGAGAGGGUGACCGGCCACAUUGGGACUGGAAUACGGCCCAGACUCCUACGGGAGGCAGCAGUGGGGAAGAUUGCACAAUGGGCGGAAGCCUGAUGCAGCAACGCCGCGUGCGGGAUGACGGCCUUCGGUUUGUAAACCGCUUUCGCCUGUGACGAAGCGUGAGUGACGGUAAUGGGUAAAGAAGCACCGGCUAACUACGUG
This 468-nucleotide ribosomal RNA is filed under the name uncultured bacterium. RNAcentral describes it as "partial 16S ribosomal RNA". It matches the Rfam family "Bacterial small subunit ribosomal RNA", at positions 28 to 507 of the family's 1533-position model. The record is from RNAcentral.